RNAcentral lists this ribosomal RNA (453 nucleotides) under uncultured Anaerolineaceae bacterium. RNAcentral's name for it is "bacterial SSU rRNA". It matches the Rfam family "Bacterial small subunit ribosomal RNA", at positions 914 to 1382 of the family's 1533-position model. Lineage: Bacteria; Bacillati; Chloroflexota; Anaerolineae; Anaerolineales; Anaerolineaceae. The record is from RNAcentral.
CGGGGACCCGCACAAGCAGCGGAGCGUGUGGUUUAAUUCGUUGCUACACGAAGAACCUUACCUGGGUUUGACAAUAUAGGUUGUAGGGAACUGAAAGGGACCGACCUUCGGGAAGCCUAUACAGGUGUUGCAUGGCUGUCGUCAGCUCGUGUCGUGAGAUGUUCGGUUAAGUCCGCUAACGAGCGCAACCCUCGUCGUAUGUUAUAUGUGUCAUACGAGACUGCCGGUAAAAGCCGGAGGAAGGUGAGGAUGAUGUCAAGUCAGCAUGACCUUUAUAUCCAGGGCUACACACACGCUACAAUGGUCUGUACAAUGGGUAGCCAAGCCGCGAGGCGGAGCCAAUCCUGAAAGCAGGCCUCAGUUCAGAUUGCAGUCUGCAACUCGACUGCAUGAAGCCGGAGUUGCUAGUAACCGCAGGUCAGCAAUACUGCGGUGAAUACGUUCCCGGGUCUU